RNAcentral lists this small RNA (183 nucleotides) under Streptantibioticus cattleyicolor. Its description in RNAcentral is "Streptomyces cattleya c-di-AMP sequence". It matches the Rfam family "c-di-AMP riboswitch aptamer (ydaO/yuaA leader)". Rfam says of the family: This family represents a conserved RNA structure found upstream of the ydaO and yuaA genes in Bacillus subtilis and related genes in other bacteria. The ydaO/yuaA element is thought to act as a genetic "off" switch for the ydaO and yuaA genes in its native state. RNAcentral also lists the same sequence under 1 other name. Lineage: Bacteria; Bacillati; Actinomycetota; Actinomycetes; Kitasatosporales; Streptomycetaceae. The record is from RNAcentral.
GACGCGAGAGCGCCGUAGGCAGGAGCGGGGGACCCAGGUUCUCCGCCGGACCGGACGGUACGGGCCCAACGCCCCGCCGCACGGCCCGGCUUGGGGUUAAGUCGCGUGCCACCACGGCACCGACCGGGCACUCACUCGGCCCGCACCCGACAGCUCACCUCGUAGGCGUCGGUGAGGAUCACU